Non-coding RNA from Ciona intestinalis (vase tunicate), 69 nucleotides. The record is from RefSeq. NCBI's taxonomy places the organism in Eukaryota, Metazoa, Chordata, Ascidiacea, Phlebobranchia, Cionidae.
CUUGUUUAGGAUUUGAUUCGGUUUUCUAGUUGUUUUGAAAUCUGUAAAAUGGAACUUAUUUUGGACAGG